AGAGGGGUGCGAGCGUUAAUCGGACUUACUGGGCGUAAAGGGUGCGUAGGCGGUGAGCUAAGUCAGUUGUGAAAGCCCAGGGGCUUAACCUUGGAAUAGCAAUUGAUACUGGUUGACUAGAAUCGAGUAGAGGGGAGUGGAAUUUCCGGUGUAGCGGUGAAAUGCGUAGAUAUCGGAAGGAACACCCGUGGCGAAGGCGACUCCCUGGACUCAGAUUGACGCUGAGGCACGAAAGCGUGGGUAGCGAACAGGAUUAGAUACCCUGGUAGUCCACGCUGUAAACGAUGAGUACUAGCUGUUGGCCUCCUUGAGGGGUCAGUAGCGGAGCAAACGCAUUAAGUACUCCGCCUGGGGAUUACGGCCGCAAGGCUA
Molecule: ribosomal RNA, 372 nt
Filed under: uncultured organism
Description: partial 16S ribosomal RNA
Rfam family: Bacterial small subunit ribosomal RNA
Source: RNAcentral